RNAcentral lists this ribosomal RNA (498 nucleotides) under uncultured bacterium. RNAcentral's name for it is "bacterial SSU rRNA". It matches the Rfam family "Bacterial small subunit ribosomal RNA", at positions 28 to 526 of the family's 1533-position model. The record is from RNAcentral.
GAUGAACGCUGGCGGCGUGCCUAACACAUGCAAGUCGAGCGUGAACCGUCUGAAUGAAACUUCGGUCGAGUGAGGAUGGGGAAAGCGGCGGACGGGUGAGUAACGCGUAGGCAACCUGCCCCGUACAGAGGGAUAGCCUCGGGAAACCGGGAUUAAGACCUCAUAAUACCAUUAUCUCACAUGUGAUAAUGGUCAAAGAUUUUAUCGGUAUGGGAUGGGCCUGCGUCUGAUUAGCUGGUUGGUGGGGUAACGGCUCACCAAGGCGACGAUCAGUAGCCGACCUGAGAGGGUAAUCGGCCACAUUGGAACUGAGACACGGUCUAAACUCCUACGGGAGGCAGCAGUGGGGAAUAUUGCACAAUGGGCGAAAGCCUGAUGCAGCAACGCCGCGUGAGCGAGGAAGGCCUUUGGGUCGUAAAGCUCUGUCGAGGAGGAAGAUAAUGACGGUACUCCUCGAGGAAGCCCCGGCUAACUACGUGCCAGCAGCCGCGGUAAGCU